Molecule: long non-coding RNA, 1214 nt
Filed under: Piliocolobus tephrosceles (Ugandan red Colobus)
Lineage: Eukaryota; Metazoa; Chordata; Mammalia; Primates; Cercopithecidae
Description: lncRNA (ENSPTEG00000016431.1)
Source: RNAcentral
AAAACAAAUGUAGAAAGCAAAAAUGUCACAACUUUAUUCAACAAAAACAUUUUUUCCAACAAAAAAAAAAAAAAAAGAAAUCCACACGAAUAGAUCAUCUUAUUGCUCUUAUCAAGAUUUAAACACUAAAAAAAUAAAAAAUAAAAAAAUUAAAUAUAUAUAUAAUAUUAAUUUAUCAAAAUGCUUUGAAUAUGAUCAAAAUGUAAGAAAUAUAUUUUUUUAUAAAACAUAAAUUAAAUGAUUUUUCUUUUUUGCUAGACAAUAUUGACGUAUUUAUACAAAUAUUUAUUUUAAAAAAUAAAGGGGAGCAGGAACGGGAAAAGGAUAGGGAAAAGGAUAGGGAAAAUGAAAGAGAAAAGGAAGGAGAAAUGGGAAGACAAAGGGAAGAAGAGAAAAAAAAUGAAGAAAAGUGUUUGGAUAAGAAAUGUACCUCUGAUGGGUUAAGUAUUCAAAGUAGAACACAUAAAUUAAACAGUUUUAGUUACCCUUGUGGUAAAAAAAACACAAAAAAAAAACAAAUGUCAGUGUUACAAAACGAUGCCCAAUAAACAAAAUACAAAACAAAUAUUUUUUUAAAUAUGAUGAAAAAAAUUCUAUAAAUUUUUUAAAAUUAUACUGGCUAUAUUUUAAUAAUUUUCCAAAUUUAAAUAUUAAUAAAGAGAUAUUAACGUAUUUAGAUUUAUAUUUUAUAAAUAAAUAUUUUUAUAAAGACAUGCAUAUAUAUAUUCCUGGCUUAAACAUUUAUAAACAGCCACCACCAUUCCAACAAAAUAUUACUCAUAUAAAUUCAGAAAAACUGUAUACGAUCGAAUAUACUGCUAAACAAAACAUUAAUAAUGUUACGACAAAUAGUGAUAAUUACAAAAAUAAAAAUAUUAAUACUGAAAAAUGUAAAAAAAUGUACUAAAAAAACAAGGUACUCAAAUAAAUGUUUCUUUGCUAGAAAAAUUAUCACAAGAUAUCAAUACGCACGAUACAAAUAUAAUCAAAUUAAUAGAUUUCGAUACAUGUUUUUUCAUUCAAAAAAAAUAAAAAUAUACAAACACCAACAACAGACAUUUUUAACUCUUAUGAAUGUUUAUUUAAUGUUAAUAACAAUAACUCUGAUAUUUUCAAAAGAAUGUCGUAUAACUUUGGUUCAGUCCUGUAUACAUUUGUAUAUGGAAAAACCCCAUACUUCGGCAAAAAUAUAUUCGAAAUUUAUGACAACAUGA